This 467-nucleotide ribosomal RNA is filed under the name uncultured bacterium. RNAcentral's name for it is "partial 16S ribosomal RNA". It matches the Rfam family "Bacterial small subunit ribosomal RNA", at positions 28 to 507 of the family's 1533-position model. The record is from RNAcentral.
GACGAACGCUGGCGGCGUGCUUAACACAUGCAAGUCGAACGAUGACGACCGAGCUUGCUCGGUCUGAUUAGUGGCGAACGGGUGAGUAACACGUGAGCAACCUGCCCUUCACUCUGGGAUAACCUCGGGAAAUCGGGGCUAAUACCGGAUAUGAGCUCCUGUCGCAUGGCGGGUGUUGGAAAGUUUUUCGGUGCAGGAUGGGCUCGCGGCCUAUCAGUUUGUUGGUGAGGUAGUGGCUCACCAAGGCGAUGACGGGUAGCCGGCCUGAGAGGGCGACCGGCCACACUGGUACUGCGACACGGCCCAGACUCCUACGGGAGGCAGCAGUGGGGAAUAUUGCACAAUGGGCGAAAGCCUGAUGCAGCGACGCCGCGUGAGGGAUGACGGCCUUCGGGUUGUAAACCUCUUUCAGCAGGGAAGAAGCGAAAGUGACGGUACCUGCAGAAGAAGCGCCGGCUAACUACGUG